Long non-coding RNA from Prionailurus viverrinus (fishing cat), 621 nucleotides. RefSeq lists it as uncharacterized. The record is from RefSeq and is a predicted model, not a curated record. The transcript is spliced from 3 exons. NCBI's taxonomy places the organism in Eukaryota, Metazoa, Chordata, Mammalia, Carnivora, Felidae.
GAUGGUGGAUGUAAAAUGCUUUAAUUUCCAGCUGUUUGCCUCAGAAUCUAGCUGAGUAGCUUGGAUGCAUAGAAGGUCACACGAAGGAGACGUUCACCUGCUGGCUUGCCAUGCCUCUUCCUUUAGGUUGAUCUUCCUCUCUGGUGUCCCCCACACGGCCUUGCAUGGGCCACGGGACAAUUCAGGUGCUUGGAAGAUUUCCCUGGUGACCGUUGGAGAGACGCGGGCGUCCUACAGCCUUGCCUCUGAGUGCCAGGACCGUGCUGACGCAGGGACAGCAGAGCAGGCCCUGACCUAAGGAGCUCCCCGUCUCUGGGGAGGCAGCGCCACAGGAUUACAUCAAGUUGACCACGGUAAUGUUGGAGAUGGCAAAGUGUUUGACUAACGAGAACUGAGCUGGAUGAAAAUACCUGAAAACAAGGCAACAUCAGCCAGGGUGGUGAUGAGAAGGUGUUUGCCAGACUCUCGAGUACAGCGUUUGUUCCCAAAGCGUGUUCCAUGGAGUAGUCUGGUACCCUGCGUGUGAAACGGCUCCCGCGGUUGGAUAAGUGUGUCUGAGUCAGCGGGCCACGAGUUGCUUUUGGACAAUCGUCUACACUGGCAUUUUAAAGGACCUGAGAA